AUCCUUUCUGGCUCAUAAGCAUGGGUAGGUUUUCACACCAUUAGGUGAGAUGUGCCUCCCCCCUCAAACCUUGUUAUGACAUCGGCACUGUACCUGUCUGAUA
Tupaia belangeri (northern tree shrew) is the source of this 103-nucleotide small nucleolar RNA. The record is from Ensembl. Lineage: Eukaryota; Metazoa; Chordata; Mammalia; Scandentia; Tupaiidae.